RNAcentral lists this ribosomal RNA (434 nucleotides) under uncultured Clostridium sp. RNAcentral's name for it is "partial 16S ribosomal RNA". It matches the Rfam family "Bacterial small subunit ribosomal RNA", at positions 341 to 792 of the family's 1533-position model. RNAcentral also lists the same sequence under 2 other names. The record is from RNAcentral. Lineage: Bacteria; Bacillati; Bacillota; Clostridia; Eubacteriales; Clostridiaceae.
ACGGAAGGCAGCAGUGGGGAAUAUUGCACAAUGGGGGAAACCCUGAUGCAGCGACGCCGCGUGAGUGAAGAAGUAUUUCGGUAUGUAAAGCUCUAUCAGCAGGAAAGAAAAUGACGGUACCUGACUAAGAAGCCCCGGCUAACUACGUGCCAGCAGCCGCGGUAAUACGUAGGGGGCAAGCGUUAUCCGGAUUUACUGGGUGUAAAGGGAGCGUAGACGGCUUUGCAAGUCUGAAGUGAAAGCCCGGGGCUCAACCCCGGAACUGCUUUGGAAACUGUAGAGCUAGAGUGCAGGAGAGGUAAGUGGAAUUCCUAGUGUAGCGGUGAAAUGCGUAGAUAUUAGGAGGAACACCAGUGGCGAAGGCGGCUUACCGGACUGUAACUGACGUUGAGGCUCGAAGGCGUGGGGAGCAAACAGGAUUAGAUACCCUGGUA